RNAcentral lists this ribosomal RNA (404 nucleotides) under uncultured bacterium. Its description in RNAcentral is "partial 16S ribosomal RNA". It matches the Rfam family "Bacterial small subunit ribosomal RNA", at positions 8 to 400 of the family's 1533-position model. The record is from RNAcentral.
AGAGUUUGAUCCUGGCUCAGAAUCAACGCUGGCGGCGUGCCUAACACAUGCGAGUCGAACGCGAAASCCCGCAAGGCAAANGCUAGAGUGGCAAACGGGUGAGUAACACGUGGGUGACCUACCUUCGAGCGGGGGAUAACGUYCCGAAAGGGCCUAAUACCGCAUGACAUCCUGCCUUUGAAGAGGUGGAGAUCAAAGCUGGGGAUCGCAAGACCUAGCACUCGAAGAGGGGCCCGCGCCUGAUUAGCUAGUUGGUGGGGUAACGGCUCACCAAGGCGACGRUCAGUAGCCGGCCUGAGAGGGCGGACGGCCACAMUGGGACUGAGACAMGGCCCAGACUCCUACGGGAGGCAGCAGUGGGGAAUUKUUCGCAAUGGGCGCAAGCUUGGACGRCGSAACGSCGC